UUUAGCUCUUGUCCGGUCUACCUCCGUUUUAAGCGCCCGUUAUUCCUCCAGAGUCUCCGGUAUUUACUUUGUUUUCUUGCUUGUGUCGGCAGUCGUGGCCAAAGGAGGAUUCAGACAAUUUUCCGAACUUUCUGGUUGGUUUCUACUGUCCGAUAUUGUAGCACGCUAACUUUGUUUGGACUCCUGAACGACACGGGGGAGCAGCGUCUGCCUCACAACCAAUCAGGUUAGAGGAGGUGGAGAACGGCUUUGUUUACAGUCAGAAAGAGCGGACCGCUCAAAAAUGUUCAAAUGUUGACGACACAGACAGAAGAGAACACAGAGAUAUCGAUAUAUUACCAAAUAAUCAAUAACUAAUAACUAUUGACUGAUAUUAGAAGAUUUUUUGUUUAUAAAACACAAAAUAAAAAGAUGUUUCUUUAACAGAUUCCUG
Molecule: non-coding RNA, 433 nt
Organism: Xyrichtys novacula (pearly razorfish)
Lineage: Eukaryota; Metazoa; Chordata; Actinopteri; Labriformes; Labridae
Source: the annotation of a GenBank genome assembly